GGCGAGGGCGGGCGGCGCGGGAGCGGAAGGCAGGAAGUGCCGCGGCGCGGGGAGCGAGGAGCUAGGCGAGCGGGGCGGAGCGGGUGGAGCUGGAUCUCGCGGGAAGCGCGGGGACGCCCGGCACCGCCUCCCCGCCCUCCGCGCCCACCCCCUUCCCCGCCGCCCCGGACCGACCGCGGGGGGGCGCUGCGGCCUGCGGGACGGGCCAGCGCUCGGGCUUCCGGUGACCCGUGGGCAGGGAUGUGGUGCCAGGCAGCUGCGCCCGGUGGGAAGCGAUUUGUUGCUUAUAAAUAAUAACUGGUUUUGUGUUGUUCUAGUAAGGUAAAAAUAACUCACUUUUUUUUUUCCGCGGAAACUGAAAAAUACAGGAAACUAGAAAUCACCUUACUCCCCCAGCACCUGGAGAGAUUCGCAGAGUAGCACCAGGAGUAAGCAGAAAAAAAGGCUGUGACCCAGGGGCAUAGGCAGAGCCAGGACCUGCAGCUGGAUGAUGCUUCCAGCAAGUGGGUGAAGACAAAGAAAAGAGAACCAAGGACAGUGCCCUGGGCUCUCCAAGAAAAACGGAAACUCAUGAGGAACAGCUGAAUUGGUAGGAGGAAAACCAAACCCGUAUGGUAUUCUGAAAGCCAACGGAAGAGAGUGUAACUCACUGUUGGUUUAGUGUGCAUUUCUCUUCAUGUGUAUUGGCUGUUUGAAUCCUAUAGAUUUUCUAGUCAUGUCCUUUGCCCAUGUGCUUCCUAUAUGUGUCUUUUUGUUGACUUUCAAGAGCUCUUCACCUCUGAACGUAACAUCUUUGUUAUUGUAAACAUAUUCUCCCAGUCUGCCACUUGUCUUGUAACUUAGCCUAAGAAGUCUGAGAUAUGAGAAAUCUUUAAUCUUUAAGUAGAGAGUAUUAUGCUAAGUGAAAUAAAUCAGACAAAGACAAAUACCAUAUGAUUUCACUUAUAUGUGGAAUCUAAAAAACAAAAACAAAAUUUUCCCUGUAUUGCUUCUGGGUUUUGUGUCUUACUUAGAGUCUUUUCCUACCCCUUGAGAUAUAAAAAAUAUUGUUCUCCUCAGUCUCAUAAAAAAUAUUGUUCUAAUCACAAGGUCCAGAAGAAAAUGUGGGAGACUUUUCCUAUAGGAGCCAGAUAAGUGCUUGGCCCAUAAUGGAUGUAUGGUCCCUGUGCAAAGGGGAAUGUAGUGCCGCCUGGCUGAGGACUCCUUCCCAUGCAUCUUCAGGAAACUACCGUAUUUGCCGGCGUGUAAGACGACUGGGCGUAUAAGACGACCCCCUAACAUUUCCACUCAAA
This is a long non-coding RNA of Hipposideros armiger (great roundleaf bat), 1292 nucleotides long. RefSeq lists it as uncharacterized. The record is from RefSeq and is a predicted model, not a curated record. The transcript is spliced from 3 exons. Lineage: Eukaryota; Metazoa; Chordata; Mammalia; Chiroptera; Hipposideridae.